GUCGAGCGAGAAGUGACUUCGGUCGCGAGUAAAGCGGCGAACGGGUGAGUACAACGUGGAUAAUCUACCCUAGGGUCUGGGACAACCCCGAGAAAUCGGGGCUAAUACCGGAUAAGACCACAGUAUCCAAGGAUACAGCGGUAAAAGAUUUAUCGCCUUUGGAUGAGUCCACGCCCCAUCAGGUAGUUGGUAAGGUAAAGGCUUACCAAGCCUAAGACGGGUAGCCGGCCUUAGCGGGUGAACGGCCACAUGGGGACUGAGACACGGCCCUGACUCCUACGGGAGGCAGCAGUGGGGAAUAUUGGGCAAUGGGCGAAAGCCUGACCCAGCGAUGCCGCGUGAGGGAUGAAGGCCUUCGGGUUGUAAACCUCUGUCAGGAGGGACGAUGGGACACUUGUGUCUUGACGGUACCUCCAGAGGAAGCCCCGGCUAACUCCGUGCCAGCAGCCGCGGUAAUACGGAGGGGGCAAGCGUUGCUCGGAAUUACUGGGCGUAAAGGGUCCGCAGGCUGUCAGGCAAGUUGGUUGUGAAAGCUCAAGGCUUAACCUUAGAAUUGCAUCCAAAACUGCCUGACUAGAGUCCAAGAGAGGUUGGCGGAAUUCCCGGUGUAGCGGUGAAAUGCAUAGAUAUCGGGAGGAACACCAGAGGCGAAGGCGGCCAACUGGCUUGGUACUGACGCUCAGGGACGAAAGCGUGGGUAGCAAACCGGAUUAGAUACCCGGGUAGUCCACGCCCUAAACGAUGGAUGCUAGGUAGGGGGAAUUUAAUUCUCCCUGCCGUAGUUAACGCAUUAAGCAUCCCGCCUGGGGAGCACGGUCGCAAGGCUGAAACUCAAAGGAAUUGGCGGGGGCCCGCACAAGCGGUGGAGCACGUGGUUUAAUUCGAUGCUAAGCGAAAA
RNAcentral lists this ribosomal RNA (898 nucleotides) under uncultured delta proteobacterium. RNAcentral's name for it is "bacterial SSU rRNA". It matches the Rfam family "Bacterial small subunit ribosomal RNA", at positions 61 to 967 of the family's 1533-position model. The record is from RNAcentral. Lineage: Bacteria; Deltaproteobacteria.